UUUCCGUAGGUGAACCGGCGGAAGGAUCAUUACUGAGUGAUGGUCCUCUGGGUCCAACCUCACUCCCGAGUUUAUUAUAACUUGUUGCUUCGGUGAGCCCGCCCCACGGCCGCCGGGGGGCAUCUGCCCCUGGGCCCGCGCCCACCGAAGACACCUAGAACUCUGUAUGAGGAUUGCAGUCUGAGCAAAAACUAAAUAAGUUAAAACUUUCAACAACGGAUCUCUUGGUUCCG
RNAcentral lists this unclassified non-coding RNA (233 nucleotides) under plant metagenome. Its description in RNAcentral is "partial contains small subunit ribosomal RNA, internal transcribed spacer 1, and 5.8S ribosomal RNA". The record is from RNAcentral.